This is a long non-coding RNA of Ruditapes philippinarum (Manila clam), 1792 nucleotides long. RefSeq lists it as uncharacterized. Lineage: Eukaryota; Metazoa; Mollusca; Bivalvia; Venerida; Veneridae. The record is from RefSeq and is a predicted model, not a curated record. The transcript has 4 exons.
CAGCCUUAAAAUGACCAUGGAUAUACAUGGAUAUCCAUGGAAAGAGCAUGGAAAUACAUGGAUAAGUCAAGUGAAUGGACAGUGUCCAUACUAACAAACAUGGAUAACAUGGACGAUGUCCAUGGAUAACAUGUACAAUGUCCAGGGAAUAUAAAAAUGUUCAUGGACAUAGUACAAAAAAACUAUGUCUAAUGUGGACAUUGUCCAUGGUCAACUUCAUUGCUCAUACUUAGAAAUUUUUAUCAAAAGUGAUUGGAUGGAUAUGCAAAAAAAAUCUAAGUGCCAAAACAUGAAAAAUGUUUAAAAAAAUCAUAACUGCCAUUCUUAAAAAAAUUAUAUGUUCAUAUUGGGUAUCAAAUUAUUCAGCAUGAAAAGAAGAAAUCAAAUAUAGUAAGAUCAAGUAGAUUUUUUUUUUAUUUUAUUUUUUUUAAAUUCCAAACUUCAGUUAAAUGAUAAUAUAGAAAAAUAUACUGUACCCUUAUGCAUACCAUUUCAAUUAUAUAAAAAGAUAAUCUACUCACUACUUGUAGACUUGUUUAGGUUUGUUUGUUUCUGUUUUUGUGGUUCAUUAUCAUAUAUUACCCUAAUUAAGUUAGAAAAAUAAAUACACAAUUUAAUAGAAACAAUUUAAAUUUAAGAACAAAUGUAAUUGUUAUGCACUUAUAUUUCUUUAUUUAUUUUUGAUAAAUUAAUUAUUAUUAUGUAUCUCUAUUGAAGUAUAUAUAAUUUAUAUAUUCAUCCUGUGUAGAUGUAACUUAUGUAUAGUGAUUAAUUUCUGGAACAUUCAAAUUAGCAUCAGCCACAAUGUAAACGUUUAUGACCCCUCAAGUGGAACCUGCUGUUUUCAUAACUACCAUAGUUAAACUCACCUAUCUGAUAUAAGAGAAUAGAAAGAGGUAAAGCAGGUUUACAACAUACUAUAUUACACUGUAGCUCCCAAGUAACUUAAUACCCUUGCAGAACAAAUCACAGGUCAGAACACUCCUUCCAGGCGGGUCAUUUGAACAGAAGCAUUGAAAGAUAAUGUUUAUUAGUGCCUAUACUGCUUAAAAGUUAUAACUUGAAAUAUUAUGUUGGAGCAUUGGAAAUUAGACCAAAUGAGUUUAAACUGGACAAAUUUACAAGAGUUUUCUGGAAAUAUGAACUUUUAAACAUGUGUAUUUCAUGAUUCAGUUAAAAUGGAGGGAACUACAUGUAUAUAACCAUUUCUAACAGUUGCAAACUUUCAAGUCUUGGAGUCACAUGAGAUGUUUCAACUCAAAGGAUGUCAGAUGUAAAAGUCAUAAAUGUACUGUUGAAUACAGAAUGCUUUCAAAACCAUCCUGGACCAACUGCAGAUCAAGGUUAUUGGCAUAACAAGCUACAGUAAGAUGGCCAUUGUUCUAUUCCGCUUUUUGUAUAAAGAGGAGGAAUAUGCCGGAAAAUCAUUGACAGGGAAAGCAUCCAAAAGUGGCGAAAAAAGGCCACCUGUUGACCAAGAAAAGUUGACAGGAAUUUACGAUAUCAUCAAAAGGAAUUUUCCGCAUGUCACACCAGUGAUGGUCAGGGAAAAGCUGCGUGACAUUGUCAAGCCAUCUCGUGCCAACAAAACAGUGGAACAAUAAAUAUGUGUACAAAAUAAACUGUGGCCGUUUUAGCCAUUCAGAACAAUAUAAAUGAGAACAUUUGAGAACUUGUUUUACUUCAUAUAUGGUGUAAAUAAAUCUUUAAUGUGUCAUAAUUUUACAGCCUUGUCAAUUCCAAAUCAUUGUUACACUAGUGCAACUCCCAAGUGAAAAAGAUUGUGUGGGAC